UAAAGUGACUGCCGGUGCAAGCCGGAGGAAGGUGGGGAUGACGUCAAAUCAUCAUGCCCCUUAUGACCUGGGCUACACACGUGCUACAAUGGAUAGUACAAAGGGUCGCGAAGCCGCGAGGUGGAGCUAAUCCCAUAAAACUAUUCUCAGUUCGGAUUGUAGGCUGCAACUCGCCUACAUGAAGCCGGAAUCGCUAGUAAUCGUGGAUCAGCAUGCCACGGUGAAUACGUUCCCGGGCCUUGUACACACCGCCCGUCACACCACGAGAGUUUGUAACACCCGAAGUCGGUAGGGUAACCUUUAUGGAGCCAGCCGCCGAAGGUGGGACAGAUAAUUGGGGUGAAGUCGUAACAAGGUAGCCGUAUCGGAAGGUGCGGCUGGAUCACCUCCUUU
Molecule: ribosomal RNA, 393 nt
Filed under: Listeria monocytogenes
Lineage: Bacteria; Bacillati; Bacillota; Bacilli; Caryophanales; Listeriaceae
Description: bacterial SSU rRNA
Rfam family: Bacterial small subunit ribosomal RNA
Source: RNAcentral